GGCAGUGUGACCUAGUGAAUAGGGCACUGGACUGGAAUUCAGAAGACCUUGGUUCUAUUCCCAGCUCUGCCA
Molecule: transfer RNA, 72 nt
Filed under: Chelonia mydas (Green sea turtle)
Lineage: Eukaryota; Metazoa; Chordata; Testudines; Cheloniidae
Rfam family: tRNA
About the family: Transfer RNA (tRNA) molecules are approximately 80 nucleotides in length.
Source: Rfam by way of RNAcentral